GAUGAAGAACGCAGCGAAAUGCGAUAAGUAAUGUGAAUUGCAGAAUUCAGUGAAUCAUCGAAUCUUUGAACGCACAUUGCGCCCGCCAGUACUCUGGCGGGCAUGCCUGUUCGAGCGUCAUUACAACCCUCAGGCCCCCGGGCCUGGCGUUGGGGAUCGGCGGAAGCCCCCUGCGGGCACAACGCCGUCCCCCAAAUACAGUGGCGGUCCCGCCGCAGCUUCCAUUGCGUAGUAGCUAACACCUCGCAACUGGAGAGCGGCGCGGCCACGCCGUAAAACACCCAACUUCUGAAUGUUGACCCCGAAUCAGGUAGGAAUACCCGCUGAACUUAAGCAUAUCAAUAAGCGGAGGA
RNAcentral lists this unclassified non-coding RNA (353 nucleotides) under soil metagenome. RNAcentral's name for it is "partial contains 5.8S ribosomal RNA, internal transcribed spacer 2, and large subunit ribosomal RNA". The stretch from base 1 to 120 matches the Rfam family "5.8S ribosomal RNA", at positions 35 to 154 of the family's 154-position model. The record is from RNAcentral.